Long non-coding RNA from Carassius auratus (goldfish), 1134 nucleotides. RefSeq lists it as uncharacterized. Lineage: Eukaryota; Metazoa; Chordata; Actinopteri; Cypriniformes; Cyprinidae. The transcript is spliced from 3 exons. The record is from RefSeq and is a predicted model, not a curated record.
GUACACUGAAAAAAAUUAAUCUGAGUGGAUGUAAAUGUUAAGUAAUUAAAAUGCGUGAUAUCAACAAUAAAAUGUUAAGUUUGUGUCUUUACUUUAAUAUAUCUAGUUUUAAAUUAAUCUGCAUUUGUUCAAAAAACAAGAAAAUGUGUAUUUUAUUCCUUUACUAAAUUAAUCUAAGUAAUCCCAGCCAAGCUUUUUAGGUACACACGCACAACAAACAAUACCUUGUUUUAUUUACUCACUUGGUAAAAAAAAAAAAAAACUCCCCUUCCUGUUUCGUUGGUCUGGAAACCCCUUGCAUUCCUAACGAAGACGAACACGCGGACUGAAUUUAAGGUGAUUCUCCUGACAAUAGGCUACACUGGAUAAAGGUUUGUGAUGACGAUGAUGCUGCAGCCAUCCAAGAGGCCAUCACUUCAUUUGUGCUCAACAUCUUUGUGGUCAGCAAAGCCAGGGAUGGAGGUCUCGAGAAGAAAGUUGGAAUAGCCAUUGAGGGAGCGGAGGUCCUUUUUUGCAUUCCCAGUGUAGCACAUGCUUGCUCCUACCUUAUGGGCCUUAUUUAUGCUUUGGAACUAAGCUACCCAGAGAAACUUAAAUACACCUUUGAGGUAUUUCAGAAGAUCUUCCUGGAGCUGGAGGAUGUUAACAAAAACAUGUCCUCCAAAAUCCACGAUCACAAGAUCAGCUUACUGGCCUAAAAGCGAUACAGACAUUGUUGAAUGUAGAGGGUUUGAGUCCCUCUGGUAAAGUUUUACUGUUCAAUUUCUCAGGUCUUUUUCAGUGCACUUUCUCAAGUCACACUAAUCCUAUUUCAUAUAGGGACCAUGUUUGUGAGUGUUAAUGUUAAAGGUGCAGUUGAAGGAAAGAUGACAGUUAAGAAGUCAGAAACUAUAUUGCACAAUGUGAGUUUUUUUCAAUAGAAACCCAAAGAAACUGAAAUGUAGGUUUCUUAGAAGAUCUCCAUUGUCACACGGGGAUCAUACAUAUGAUCAUACAUGUGCAAGCGUGUUGUUUUAAAGUCUUAAGAGUAUGUUACUGUACAGGACUGAAAAACGCAAUUUUAUAGAAAAUAUUCUGUAAAUGUGUCUGAAUGGUUUCUUAUGAAGACAAUAAAGCCUGUCAACUUUCACUUAA